This is a long non-coding RNA of Cucurbita pepo subsp. pepo (vegetable marrow), 381 nucleotides long. RefSeq lists it as uncharacterized. NCBI's taxonomy places the organism in Eukaryota, Viridiplantae, Streptophyta, Magnoliopsida, Cucurbitales, Cucurbitaceae. The record is from RefSeq and is a predicted model, not a curated record.
UCUUCGAUUCGACCCACUACGUGGGGCGGUAUUACGAAGUGUCUCCAUUGUUGAGCGAUUCUUGUAGCCCAAGAGAAGUCCGGUUUGGUUCUCAAGUCUAUUGUAGGGCUGACAUAAUACAGUAGAAAUGUUGCAUAUAAUGCGAAGGCAAACUGGAGACAUGAUUCCGAAAGAUACCCAUCUUCUUCUCAACGCAACUUCGGAACAAUCGCAACCCUGUAGCAAAACCGCAUAUCAGAUACGUCCUUUUCAUAUGAUACUGAAAAGACUGAUCAUCCAGACCGAGCUGAAAGUAAUUUUCUUACCUUAAAACUCACAAAUAUUGAUAUGUCGAAUUCUGGACAAAAACUAUCUUCCACCUGAGAAACCUGUGAACGGAUA